This 199-nucleotide ribosomal RNA is filed under the name uncultured Symbiodinium. RNAcentral's name for it is "partial Bacterial large subunit ribosomal RNA". It matches the Rfam family "Bacterial large subunit ribosomal RNA", at positions 1415 to 1618 of the family's 2925-position model. The record is from RNAcentral. Lineage: Eukaryota; Dinophyceae; Suessiales; Symbiodiniaceae.
UCGAUGGGAAACGGGUUAAUAUUCCCGUACUUAUAUAAUCAGUGAUGGAGGGACGGAGAAGGCUAGGCAAGCUUGGCGUUGGUUGUCCAAGUGAAAGCGAGUAGGCCGAGAACUUAGGUAAAUCCGGGUUCUUAAAGCUGAGACGCGAGACGAGCCACUACGGUGGUGAAGUUGUUGAUGCCCUUCUUCCAGGAAAAGC